CCUACGGGGGGCAGCAGUCGAGAAUCAUUCACAAUGGGGGAAACCCUGAUGGUGCGACGCCGCGUGGGGGAAUGAAGGUCUUCGGAUUGUAAACCCCUGUUAUGUGGGAGCAAAUUAAAAAGAUAGUACCACAAGAGGAAGAGACGGCUAACUGUGUGCCAGCAGCCGCGGUAAUACAGGGGUCUCAAGCGGUGUUCGGAAGCACUGGGCGUAAAGCGUGCGUAGGCUGUUUCGUAAGGCGGGUGUGAAAGGCGCGGGCUCAACCCGCGGCGGGCAGAUGAUACUGCGAGACUAGAGUAGUGGAGGGGGAACCGGAAUGCUCGGUGUAGCAGUGAAAUGCGUAGAUAUCGAGAGGAACACUCGUGGCGAAGGCGGGGUCCUGGA
This 384-nucleotide ribosomal RNA is filed under the name uncultured bacterium. RNAcentral's name for it is "partial 16S ribosomal RNA". It matches the Rfam family "Bacterial small subunit ribosomal RNA", at positions 338 to 733 of the family's 1533-position model. The record is from RNAcentral.